GUAAUAUUACCCCCUAUAGCGUGAAAUCAACUUGAUGGUGUGAUGAAUGGAAACAAAUGGCUGUUGGCAACAAAGGAGAAACUCAAUGCAGCUCAGCAGAGCUAAACAUCAGUCAGCUUUUAUGGAAAGGUUCUGACCUUUCAUUUCCUUGGUGACCGCCGUGAUGUCAUCACCUCUUGUCGUCAUUCAUUGUUGUCAUCAUCCUCUUCUGCCGCCAGCUGUCUGUCUCUCGCAUCCACAUUGGGGAUCGCUGGGUUGACAAUUAAGAAGAGCGGUAACAUCAAAGCAUUGAGGUGGAUAAAAACACAGUUUAUGUGUCUGUGUGAGUCAAUGAUGGG
This is a long non-coding RNA of Seriola dumerili (greater amberjack), 338 nucleotides long. RefSeq lists it as uncharacterized. The record is from RefSeq and is a predicted model, not a curated record. The transcript has 3 exons. Lineage: Eukaryota; Metazoa; Chordata; Actinopteri; Carangiformes; Carangidae.